CACCGAAUACGAAACGGACGUAACGUGGUCAAAACAUGGUGGAUACGCCGUUGGUACUUCCUAUAUAUAAGUGUUUCACUAGAUUACAAAACUUUCGUAAAAUGUGCCGUGAGAAAUUCAGUGUUUUGUAGACCUUUUGGACCUAAUACAAACUUUAAACAACUCACAAACGCAUUUAUCCGUUUAUCCACGACGAGACUUCAUUCUUAGCACGCUACUUUCGUCUAUCUGUUACUUAUGCGAUUCUUAUACUCAUAAUCGUUUACUUGAUCAAUCGUUCACCCUUAUACCUCAAUUAUUCUCUUUUGUCUCAACUCCAAGGCCUCGAUUUUAAACAAUCCUCUUCUGUUCGCCAAAACCCUUUCAAGUCUUUCUUCUGAAUAAAUUUCGGGACGAAAUUUCCUAAAGGAGGGGAGACUGUAAUGCCCCGUAAUUUCACAUUUCUAUAUAUUUUUCGAAAAUUUGUAUUCGCUUCUAUUUUUUUUUGUAGAAUCACAGGCGAAAUCGGAUCGAAAAGCGGAUUAGAAACGACCACCGAAACGACUCCCGUGUUAUUUAACGAAACGACGAACGUACGCGUCAAAUAUUAAAUAACGGCAUCAUUUUACACGUUUUGUACCUAAAACUACAUUUUACUACAUUUCAGGACACUCGGGUUCGAAAACGGACCUCGUAGACGCGACCGCGCUCCUCCAAAAUGCUAGAAACGAGUAACGGGCCUUGGGCCCAACAUACCAAACCCUACCUAUUUAAAGCUAAACACACACACUCUACACACACUCACACCACCGCACACACACACACACGCAGCUCUCCCCUCUCUCUCGUUCCAUUUUUGGUGACCGACUUCCGGCAAAGCUCCGGUGAUCGACUUCCGGGGGGGGGGUGAAGGCGCGUACCCCCUAAACAGAACCCCCUGAUCACGAAUCCGGCAUCCGUUUUCUCAUCGGAGCAACGGAGGUGCCCGUUCUCGUCUACGGCAUCCUUGGUUCGAGUUCAAGCCUGUUUCUCCGGUGGUGCCGGUGACGGGACGAUGAUGAGAGCGAUGGUUACGAGUCGGUGUAGAUGAUCGAUGAUGAAGACGGUGAGGACCGACGGCGCCGUCGUCGGAGCCACGGCCGACAGCAGCGGCAGUAGUGGUGGUUCCGAUUCGGGUUCGGAUCUAGACCAGUCGGCUCGGGUUACCGGUUUCCGGUGACAGUCGGGUUUGGUUUAGAUGUUUCAGUUUGUUCCGGUUCAAGUUGGUUUAAGUCGAGUUUCAGUUCUGGUUUGGAGCUGUUCUUAUUUCGGGUGCUCGGGUUUCAGCUCAACACGGUGUAACUCGGGUCGGUUUCAGGUCACGACAGGACUAGACGCCUGCCGCCGUUUCGGUUAAGUGCUCUCGUUCAAUCUCUUGGAAUUCUCCAAUCUUUACUCGUGCGACACUUCGAGAAUUCUCCAAAUGCAACCACUGUGGAUGUUGACGAUGCAUGGAAUCUAGUAGGAUGCUUAGAUACACACUUAAAAAGAAUUGUAUUCAUAUUGUGUUAUUUUAUUAUUCAAGUUGUUAUAUUUUGUUUCAAAACUUGUAAUUGAUCCUUUAGAAAUUGAAUGAAAUGAUUAUUUAAAUACCUGUCACAAUUAUUAGCGUUAUG
Molecule: long non-coding RNA, 1634 nt
Organism: Helianthus annuus (common sunflower)
Lineage: Eukaryota; Viridiplantae; Streptophyta; Magnoliopsida; Asterales; Asteraceae
Exons: 4
Source: RefSeq, a predicted model, not a curated record